RNAcentral lists this ribosomal RNA (483 nucleotides) under uncultured bacterium. RNAcentral describes it as "partial 16S ribosomal RNA". It matches the Rfam family "Bacterial small subunit ribosomal RNA", at positions 30 to 506 of the family's 1533-position model. The record is from RNAcentral.
AUUGAACGCUGGCGGCAGGCCUAACACAUGCAAGUCGAGCGGAUGAAGGGAGCUUGCUCCUGGAUUCAGCGGCGGACGGGGGAGUAAUGCCUAGGAAUCUGCCUGGUAGUGGGGGAUAACGUCCGGAAACGGGCGCUAAUACCGCAUACGACCCGAGCGAGAAAGUGGGGGAUCUUCGGACCACACGCUAUCAGAUGAGCCUAGGUCGGAUUAGCUAGUUGGUGGGGUAAAGGCCUACCAAGGCGACGAUCCGUAACUGGUCUGAGAGGAUGAUCAGUCACACUGGAGCUGAGACACGGUCCAGACUCCUACGGGAGGCAGCAGUGGGGAAUAUUGGACAAUGGGCGAAAGCCUGAUCCAGCCAUGCCGCGUGUGUGAAGAAGGUCUUCGGAUUGUAAAGCACUUUAAGUUGGGAGUAAGGGCAGUAAGUUAAUACCUUGCUGUUUUGACGUUACCAACAGAAUAAGCACCGGCUACCUUCGU